This 2364-nucleotide unclassified non-coding RNA is filed under the name Hevea brasiliensis (rubber tree). The record is from RNAcentral. Lineage: Eukaryota; Viridiplantae; Streptophyta; Magnoliopsida; Malpighiales; Euphorbiaceae.
UAAACACAAGCAUACAGGCAUCAACUGGCAGGAGAUCAUGUACAAUAUUAACCUCUAUACUAUAAUCAAGAAAACCAUGUAUUACAGUUGUAUAAAGAAAUUAUGUAUGCACAUUAAAUAUCCGUACAUUACAUAUCCAUUAUCAACUCGCAUUACUGCGGCUACAUUACAAGAAACAAAACUAAUAACAAAGCAAUUACAACUGCAAUAAACUUUGAAUGUUGAUGGAUGCUUAAUUGAAACAGAGUCAGGACCUGGAGAACCAUUCUAUCUUCACAAUAGCAUCAUGUUUAAACAAUUAAUCAGAAAUUUUAAAUCUUCAUCGUGGCUGGUCUCACCAGUCCCAAUCCUGAACCACUACCUAAAUGUUUGAAGUCCGUUGCUAAAAGAUUAUCUCCAUGACCAGCAUAGCCUGUUCCACCCUUUUCCAAGUUCACCAAAUUCCUUGCCUUACACACCUUGUUGCAAACAAGACAAACUUUAUCCACAGCCAUAAAUUUGUCUGCGCACUUCUUGCAGAAGACAUGCCCACAUGAACUGAGUGCAACCAGUGAGAGUGUAUUUGUAAGAGUAACCUUGCAGCUGGCACAGAUAUAGGUCUUAUCAAGAGCACUGGAUUUCUUUUCACUAUUGUCUUCUGUGAGAUAGAUGGGGAAAAGGCUCUUCAUCUUAAGCUUUUCCUUGCCUUCUGGACAGAUUGUACUUGUGGAGGGGGCUUCUGUUUUAACAGGAGCUUCUGGUGUAGCUGAGGGCAGCCAAAAUGCUUUCAUUGUUCGAAGUGCCUCCUCUUCAUAGGAAGUCACCUUCACACUGUUUGCCCCAUGGAAGCCAUUCUUGUCUCGGCUCUGGUUUCUAUCACUGUACUGUGGAACUGCACCAUGGUUUUGCUGAUCAAAAGCAUCCAGUUCUCUGGUUUUCUGCAACAUUAACUUCUCUUCCUCCUCUUCCUUCUCUUGUUUCUUCUGUGAUUCAUGGGCAGCUAGCUUCCUGCUAGGUAAGAUCAAAGCUUGCUCCUCAAUGCAGCAUAUCAAUGUUUAAAUGAUAAAUGAUUUGUCACACAAUGCCACAUAUAAAGAGUUUGCAUACGCUGUCUUAUAUACUAAGCAAACAUCCCAAUAAAAUGCCCGAGGCUUUCCCACUAAAUCUACUGUACGGUAUAUAAAGCUAAGCUAGUCUUUUCACAUCAACAACCCUCAGCGAUAGGCAUUAUGAACAGCACAAGAAAGCCUAUCUCAAGUGUGCAGUUUUGAUCGUCAUAAUCUACCAGCCUUUUGGAUAGACCUCCUAAGUUUCUCCAAAUAAGCCAGAAGUGUAACUAUCUACUUGCAUAUCACUUGUUCCCAAACUAAUGCAAUCACCAACAAAAAUUUUAAGAAACAAGCUUGGGAAAAGAUAACCAAUUUUUCUUAACAUCAAUUCAGAUCAAAUUUGCUCAACGUUAAUUCAAAUCACCAUUCGAUGAUUCCUCAAGAAAUAGUAACUCAUCAUAUCAAUCAUAUGCCCAUAACUACGCUUACUAAAAUUGAAUCUACCACUGCACUAAUCUAAAUUAUCACGAAUCGAACUUGUUUCGUAAUUGUUUAGCUGUUUAGCUCCUAUUUUCUGUGUUCAGUCUAUACCAAAACAAAGGUCUCCAUCAAACAAAGCCUAUUGUGAGCGUUCAACGCGGUGGAAAUCGAAUCCUAUUCAGUUGACGCGCUAUAAUAUUACCAAAGCCAAAAUUAAAAACACAACUUUCGUUCAAUGCGAUAAACUCAACUUACCUUUGGAUGUCCUUCUUUUGGGCUAAAAGACACUCGAGAAUGCAUUCUUUGCAGAAGACGUGGCCUUUCUGGCAAGACAUGGGAUCGAUAAGCGGUUUCAAGCAGAGACAGCAGGCAUCGAAGGGCUUAAUCGAGUCCUUACCCAACCUUUCCCUCUGGGUCCCGUAUCCGAGCUUUUGCUUCUCAUCGUAGGUGAAGAAAGCUAAAUCGUUAUUGUUCUUCGAGUGUCUCUGAGGCAUCUUAUCGUCGCUCCUUUUGACACGUGUCCCGAGAAGACGAAACUCACGCACCUCCACUUGGCCUUUCUCUGCUCUUCCUCCUUCUACUGUCGCACUUUCCCUUCUCUUCCGAAUAGUCCUCUCAAUUUCUUCUCAAUCCCAACGCAAUAUCCAAAUCCGCAAAGCUCCAUUGAAGCUGCAGUUUUUAUUUUUUAUUUUUUUGAAUUUUACUUGCAGCCAUGACUUCGCCGUUGCCGAAGAAGAAAGACCCAGCAGCUGAAGCCGUCGUGGUCCAACCAUCAUCUCCGCGAUUUCCUGUUAGUACUCCAACAUCGGCGGCUCAACGGAGAAUCGGCAUUGCCGUCGAUCUCAGCGAUGAGAGC